GACGAACGCUGGCGGCGUGCCUAAUACAUGCAAGUCGAACGAACCGCGACUAGGUGCUUGCACUUGGUCAAGGUGAGUGGCGAACGGGUGAGUAACACGUGGGUAACCUACCUCAUAGUGGGGGAUAACAGUCGGAAACGACUGCUAAUACCGCAUAGGACAUAGGAUCACAUGAUCCAGUGAGGAAAGGUGGCGCAAGCUAUCGCUAAGAGAUGGACCCGCGGUGCAUUAGCUAGUUGGUAGGGUAAAGGCCUACCAAGGCGAUGAUGCAUAGCCGACCUGAGAGGGUGAUCGGCCACAUUGGGACUGAGACACGGCCCAAACUCCUACGGGAGGCAGCAGUAGGGAAUCUUCCGCAAUGGACGCAAGUCUGACGGAGCAACGCCGCGUGAGUGAAGAAGGUCUUCGGAUCGUAAAGCUCUGUUGUUAGAGAAGAACAGCGCAUAGAGUAACUGUUAUGCGUGUGACGGUAACUAACCAGAAAGCCACGGCUAACUACGUG
Molecule: ribosomal RNA, 502 nt
Filed under: uncultured bacterium
Lineage: Bacteria
Description: partial 16S ribosomal RNA
Rfam family: Bacterial small subunit ribosomal RNA
Source: RNAcentral